UUUUAUCUUAUUUUCCCUCUUCACUAGGUUAUAGGGCACGAUCCCUUAACUAUUGGAUGUGGGAACCUUAUACAAAAAUGCUUUCUAUGCAAUGCUUCCUUCAAUACUGGAACUGGACCUUUACGGUCUUAGGCUGACCAGCAUUGUAUUGAUCUAGUUCCAGGUGUUGUCCUUUCUUUCCUCAUUGCCACCUUGCCUGCCUCCGCUCAACCUUUCUGCCCCACCUAUACUAAUAUUGGAAACUGGACCUUUACGGUCUUAGGCUGACCAGCAAAUCUAUCCAGAAGCAAGUGUAGUUCACCGGUUCCAGCGAAUGCUCCUAUCUCUCGGCAAAGAUCGUGUGA
This 344-nucleotide long non-coding RNA is filed under the name Nicotiana benthamiana. RNAcentral's name for it is "long non-coding RNA (NBEN_LNC025200)". The record is from RNAcentral. Lineage: Eukaryota; Viridiplantae; Streptophyta; Magnoliopsida; Solanales; Solanaceae.